UGGUCAAGUUAUUAAGGGUGCAGGGCGGAUGCCUUGGCACUAGGAGCCGAUGAAGGACGUGAUAAGCUGCGAUAAGCUUCGGGGAGUUGCACGUAAACUUUGAUCCGAAGAUUUCCGAAUGAGGAAACUCACUUAGAGUAAUGUCUAAGUAUCAUUAAGUGAAUACAUAGCUUAAUGAGGGGAACUCAGGGAACUGAAACAUCUAAGUACCUGAAGGAAGAGAAAGAAAUUCGAUUCUGUAAGUAGCGGCGAGCGAACGCGGAUUAGCCCAAACCAAUAAAGUUUUCUUUAUUGGGGUUGCGGACAUAUCAUAACGAAGAGGUAUCGUAAUUGAAGAGGUUUGGAAAGAUCCACCACAGAAGGUAAUAGUCCUGUAUGUUAAACGAGAAGACUUUAGAUAUGAUCCAGAGUACCACGGGACACGUGAAACCCUGUGGGAAGCAGGAGGGACCACCCUCCAAGGCUAAAUACUACCUAGUGACCGAUAGCGUAUAGUACCGUGAGGGAAAGGUGAAAAGAACCCCGGGAGGGGAGUGAAAUAGAACCUGAAACCCUGCACUUACAAGCUGUGGAAGCACAUUUCUUGUGUGACCGCGUACUUUUUGUAGAACGGGCCAACGAGUUACGUUAAGUAGCAAGGUUAAGCACUUAAGGUGCGGAGCCGUAGCGAAAGCGAGUUUUAACUGAGCGUUCAGUUACUUGACGUAGACCCGAAACCGGGCGACCUACCCAUGAGCAGGAUGAAGCGAAAGUAAAAUUUCGUGGAGGUCCGA
This 773-nucleotide ribosomal RNA is filed under the name Clostridioides difficile. Its description in RNAcentral is "partial 23S ribosomal RNA". It matches the Rfam family "Bacterial large subunit ribosomal RNA", at positions 1 to 777 of the family's 2925-position model. The record is from RNAcentral. Lineage: Bacteria; Bacillati; Bacillota; Clostridia; Peptostreptococcales; Peptostreptococcaceae.